AACGAACGCUGGCGGCAUGCCUAACACAUGCGAGUCGAACGACACCUUCGGGUCUAGUGGCGCACGGGUGCGUAACGCGGGGGAACCUGCCCUUAGGUUCGGAAUAACUCCCCGAAAGGGGUGCUAAUACCGGAUAAUGUCUUCGGACCAAAGAUUUAUCGCCUUUGGAUGGGCCCGCGUUGGAUUAGCUAGUUGGUAGGGCAAAAGCCUACCAAGGCGACGAUCCAUAGCUGGUCUGAGAGGAUGAUCAGCCACACUGGGACUGAGACACGGCCCAGACUCCUACGGGAGGCAGCAGUGGGGAAUAUUGGACAAUGGGCGAAAGCCUGAUCCAGCAAUGCCGCGUGAGUGAUGAAGGCCUUAGGGUUGUAAAGCUCUUUUACCCGGGAUGAUAAUGACAGUACCGGGAGAAUAAGCGCCGGCUAACUCCGUG
Molecule: ribosomal RNA, 433 nt
Filed under: uncultured bacterium
Lineage: Bacteria
Description: partial 16S ribosomal RNA
Rfam family: Bacterial small subunit ribosomal RNA
Source: RNAcentral